This 852-nucleotide ribosomal RNA is filed under the name Bacillus subtilis. RNAcentral describes it as "bacterial SSU rRNA". It matches the Rfam family "Bacterial small subunit ribosomal RNA", at positions 24 to 857 of the family's 1533-position model. Lineage: Bacteria; Bacillati; Bacillota; Bacilli; Caryophanales; Bacillaceae. The record is from RNAcentral.
UCAGGACGAACGCUGGCGGCGUGCCUAAUACAUGCAAGUCGAGCGGACAGAUGGGAGCUUGCUCCCUGAUGUUAGCGGCGGACGGGUGAGUAACACGUGGGUAACCUGCCUGUAAGACUGGGAUAACUCCGGGAAACCGGGGCUAAUACCGGAUGGUUGUUUGAACCGCAUGGUUCAAACAUAAAAGGUGGCUUCGGCUACCACUUACAGAUGGACCCGCGGCGCAUUAGCUAGUUGGUGAGGUAACGGCUCACCAAGGCAACGAUGCGUAGCCGACCUGAGAGGGUGAUCGGCCACACUGGGACUGAGACACGGCCCAGACUCCUACGGGAGGCAGCAGUAGGGAAUCUUCCGCAAUGGACGAAAGUCUGACGGAGCAACGCCGCGUGAGUGAUGAAGGUUUUCGGAUCGUAAAGCUCUGUUGUUAGGGAAGAACAAGUACCGUUCGAAUAGGGCGGUACCUUGACGGUACCUAACCAGAAAGCCACGGCUAACUACGUGCCAGCAGCCGCGGUAAUACGUAGGUGGCAAGCGUUGUCCGGAAUUAUUGGGCGUAAAGGGCUCGCAGGCGGUUUCUUAAGUCUGAUGUGAAAGCCCCCGGCUCAACCGGGGAGGGUCAUUGGAAACUGGGGAACUUGAGUGCAGAAGAGGAGAGUGGAAUUCCACGUGUAGCGGUGAAAUGCGUAGAGAUGUGGAGGAACACCAGUGGCGAAGGCGACUCUCUGGUCUGUAACUGACGCUGAGGAGCGAAAGCGUGGGGAGCGAACAGGAUUAGAUACCCUGGUAGUCCACGCCGUAAACGAUGAGUGCUAAGUGUUAGGGGGUUUCCGCCCCUUAGUGCUGCAGCUAACG